RNAcentral lists this ribosomal RNA (439 nucleotides) under uncultured bacterium. RNAcentral describes it as "bacterial SSU rRNA". It matches the Rfam family "Bacterial small subunit ribosomal RNA", at positions 958 to 1397 of the family's 1533-position model. The record is from RNAcentral.
AACGCGAAGAACCUUACCCAGGCUUGACAUGCAGAGGACGACAUAAGAGAUUAUGUUUCCCUUCGGGGCCUCUGCACAGGUGCUGCAUGGCUGUCGUCAGCUCGUGCCGUGAGGUGUUGGGUUAAGUCCCGCAACGAGCGCAACCCUUGUCACUAUUUGCCAACACGUAAUGGUGGGAACUCUAGUGAGACUGCCUAGGUUAACUAGGAGGAAGGUGAGGAUGACGUCAAGUCAGCAUGGCCCUUAUGUCUGGGGCUACACACGUACUACAAUGGCCGGUACAGAAGGCAGCGAAACCGUAAGGCGAAGCAAAUCCCCAAAGCCGGCCCCAGUUCAGAUUGUAGUCUGCAACUCGACUACAUGAAGUUGGAAUUGCUAGUAAUGGCGUGUCAGCAACAACGCCGUGAAUACGUUCCCGGGCCUUGUACACACCGGCUAC